RNAcentral lists this ribosomal RNA (1449 nucleotides) under metagenome. RNAcentral describes it as "bacterial SSU rRNA". It matches the Rfam family "Bacterial small subunit ribosomal RNA". The record is from RNAcentral.
AGAGUUUGAUCGUGGCUCAGGAUGAACGCUAGCGGCGCGCUUAAUGCAUGUAAGUCGAGCGAUGAGUAUCUUCGGAUACAUCAGCGGCAGACGGGUGAGUAACACGUGGAUGACCUGCCCUCAAGACCGGGAUAACGCGUGGAAACAGGCGCUAAUACCGGAUGGACUUCUGGGGUCGCAGCCAGAAGUAAAGCUACGGUGCUUGAGGAGGGGUCCGCGGCCCAUCAGCUAGUUGGUAGGGCAACGGCCUACCAAGGCGAAGACGGGUAGGGGGUGUGAGAGCACGGCCCCCCACAAUGGGACUGAGAGACGGCCCAUACUCCUACGGGAGGCAGCAGCAGGGAAUAUUGCACAAUGGACGGAAGUCUGAUGCAGCGACGCCGCGUGGAUGAUGAAGGCCUUCGGGUCGUAAAAUUCUUUUUCGGGGGGAAGAGAAAGGACGGUACCCCCGGAAUAAGCGUCGGCUAACUACGUGCCAGCAGCCGCGGUAAUACGUAGGACGCGAGCGUUAUCCGGAUUUAUUGGGCGUAAAGCGUCUGUAGGCGGUCAGGUAAGUUGGACGUGAAAGCUCCGGGCUUAACCCGGAGAGGCCGUUCAAUACUGCUUGACUGGAGGGCGUGAGAGGGGAGCGGAAUUCCCGGUGUAGCGGUAAAAUGCGCAGAUAUCGGGAGGAACACCAGUGGCGUAGGCGGCUCCCUGGUACGUACCUGACGCUGAGAGACGAAAGCUAGGGGAGCGAACAGGAUUAGAGACCCUGGUAGUCCUAGCCCUAAACGCUGGAUGCUAGGUGUGGGGCCGAAUAGGCUCUGUGCCGCAGCUAACGCGCUAAGCACCCCGCCUGGGGAGUACGGCCGCAAGGCUAAAACUCAAACGAAUUGACGGGGCCCCGCACAAGCAGCGGAGCGUGUGGUUUAAUUCGAUGUUACACGAAGAACCUUACCUGGGUUUGACAUGGAGGUGGUAGGGAAGCGAAAGCGGACCGGCUCUUCGGAGAGCCUUCACAGGUGCUGCAUGGCUGUCGUCAGCUCGUGCCGAGGUGUCGGGUUAAGUCCCGUAACGAGCGCAACCCUUGCCCUUAGUUACAAGUGUCUAGGGGGACUGCCGGCGGGAAGCCGGAGGAAGGUGGGGAUGAUGUCAAGUCAGCAUGGCCCUUAUGUCCAGGGCUACACACGCUACAAUGGACGGUACAAAGGGCAGCUAAGCCGCGAGGUGGAGCGAAUCCCAACAAAGCCGUCCGUAGUACGGAUAGCAGGCUGCAACCCGCCGCUUGAAGCUGGAGUUGCUAGUAACCGCGCGUCAGCUAUAGUGCGGUGAAUACGUUCCCGGGGCUUGUACACACCGCCCGUCACGUCAUGGGAGUCGGUAACGCCUGAAGCCGGUAGCCUAACGCGCAAGCGAGGGCGCUGUCGAAGGCGGGGCUGGCGACUGGGACGAAGUCGUAACAAGGUA